This 388-nucleotide long non-coding RNA is filed under the name Bos grunniens (domestic yak). RNAcentral's name for it is "lncRNA (ENSBGRG00000009831.1)". Lineage: Eukaryota; Metazoa; Chordata; Mammalia; Artiodactyla; Bovidae. The record is from RNAcentral.
UUAGCCACUGAACAACAACAUGAAGAUCCUACCAAUUUCCUUUUCUGAAAAUAGCUCAAGGAUUCAUACCUUUUUCGUCCCCAGACUCAAGAUAAUAAAUUCUCAUAAUGAAAGUAUAACCCUUUGCCUCCAUAGCCCGAUGUGCAUGCAUUCACCCAUGUAUCCAUCCAUCCAUCCAUCCACCUACCCACCUACCGACUCAUUCACCUGUGUUGGUUCACUGUUGGCCCAAGCCUAUCCGCUGCAUACUGUGCACACUUGCGACGUUUGUAGGUGCCAGUUAAGGAUUCUCACCACUUUGAAAAAUGGUGGGAAUGGAAAUACUAUACGGGCUGCAUUUGAGAACCAGACUGCAAAGACAGGCCAUGACAGCCGAUUCCUAGACUGA